Molecule: unclassified non-coding RNA, 197 nt
Filed under: soil metagenome
Description: partial contains 5.8S ribosomal RNA, internal transcribed spacer 2, and large subunit ribosomal RNA
Source: RNAcentral
AAGACUAUAGACCUGCGGAGUACCUGCGGAGGGAUCAUUCACAAUAAGUGUUUUAUGGCACUUUAAUUCCAUAUCCACCUUGUGUGCAACGUAGUUCGUUUUUCGAACAAAACAUCAACAUUUUAAUUAUCAACAGAUCGUCUGAAGUAUUAUAUGAAUAAAUCAAUUCAAAAUACAACUUUUAACAAUGGAUCUCU